Molecule: small nucleolar RNA, 134 nt
Organism: Echinops telfairi (small Madagascar hedgehog)
Lineage: Eukaryota; Metazoa; Chordata; Mammalia; Afrosoricida; Tenrecidae
Source: Ensembl
GCAUGAGUUUGGAUUGAUGGCAGGUCCAAUCCCAUGACCUUCUCAUCGUGUUCCCUGCCAGAGCAAACUGGAACCCUAAACCAUUGCUUGCCUUUACCUCGUGGGCUUCAGGCACUGAGGCGGGUUGCACAGUG